GUGAGUAACACGUGGGCAACCUGCCUGUAAGACUGGGAUGGACGCACCGCUGGUGUACCAGUUGUCUUGCCAAAGGCAUCGCUGGGUAGCUAUGUGCGGACGGGAUAAGUGCUGAAAGCAUCUAAGCAUGAAGCCCCCCUCAAGAUGAGAUUUCCCAUAGCGCAAGCUAGUAAGAUCCCUGAAAGAUGAUCAGGUUGAUAGGUCAGAGGUGGAAGCGUGGUAACAUGUGGAGCUGACUGAUACUAAUCGAUCGA
RNAcentral lists this non-coding RNA (254 nucleotides) under Neobacillus massiliamazoniensis. RNAcentral's name for it is "Bacillus sp. LF1 Bacterial large subunit ribosomal RNA". It matches the Rfam family "Bacterial large subunit ribosomal RNA", at positions 2653 to 2912 of the family's 2925-position model. Lineage: Bacteria; Bacillati; Bacillota; Bacilli; Caryophanales; Bacillaceae. The record is from Rfam by way of RNAcentral.